UGGGGAAUAUUGCACAAUGGGCGCAAGCCUGAUGCAGCCAUGCCGCGUGUAUGAAGAAGGCCUUCGGGUUGUAAAGUACUUUCAGCGGGGAGGAAGGGAGUAAAGUUAAUACCUUUGCUCAUUGACGUUACCCGCAGAAGAAGCACCGGCUAACUCCGUGCCAGCAGCCGCGGUAAUACGGAGGGUGCAAGCGUUAAUCGGAAUUACUGGGCGUAAAGCGCACGCAGGCGGUUUGUUAAGUCAGAUGUGAAAUCCCCGGGCUCAACCCGGGAACUGCAUCUGAUACUGGCAAGCUUGAGUCUCGUAGAGGGGGGUAGAAUUCCAGGUGUAGCGGUGAAAUGCGUAGAGAUCUGGAGGAAUACCGGUGGCGAAGGCGGCCCCCUGGACGAAGACUGACGCUCAGGUGCGAAAGCGUGGGGAGCAAACA
This 427-nucleotide ribosomal RNA is filed under the name uncultured Enterobacteriaceae bacterium. RNAcentral describes it as "bacterial SSU rRNA". It matches the Rfam family "Bacterial small subunit ribosomal RNA", at positions 355 to 774 of the family's 1533-position model. The record is from RNAcentral. Lineage: Bacteria; Pseudomonadati; Pseudomonadota; Gammaproteobacteria; Enterobacterales; Enterobacteriaceae.